RNAcentral lists this ribosomal RNA (322 nucleotides) under Salmonella enterica subsp. enterica serovar Typhimurium. RNAcentral's name for it is "partial 23S ribosomal RNA". It matches the Rfam family "Bacterial large subunit ribosomal RNA", at positions 2609 to 2925 of the family's 2925-position model. The record is from RNAcentral. Lineage: Bacteria; Pseudomonadati; Pseudomonadota; Gammaproteobacteria; Enterobacterales; Enterobacteriaceae.
GUUUAGAAAGUCGUGAGACAGUUCGGUCCCUAUCUGCCGUGGGUGUUGGAGAAUUGAAAGGGGCUGCUCCUAGUACGAGAGGACCGGAGUGGACGAACCUCUGGUGUUCGGGUUGUGUCGCCAGACGCAUUGCCCGGUAGCUAAGUUCGGAAUCGAUAACCGCUGAAAGCAUCUAAGCGGGAAGCGAGCCUUGAGAUGAGUUCUCCCUGAUACUUUAAGUAUCCUAAAGGGUUGUCGUAGACUACGACGUUGAUAGGCAGGGUGUGUAAGCGUUGUGAGGCGUUGAGCUAACCUGUACUAAUUGCCCGUGAGGCUUAACCAU